GUAAUCUACAUAUUGGUUUAAUUCAAAUAUCACGAAACCAGUUGAUCUAAUUUUUUUAACCUGUUGGAGUAAAUAUUUUAACGUGGUAAAGUUAAUUGAUUAGGGAAAAUUAGGGGUGACAGGCCAUCCAAAAUUGGGGAUAUCUUGAUAUUAAGGAAAUAUAUUAAGUAUAAAAACAGACUAAAAAUGGUGAGGUUUUAAGUUAUUAUAAAUAUUGUUACUCUAUAGAUUGGAUUUUGUAAAAGAUACCAGUUGAAUAUAUGUAAUAUAAAUCACUUUCAGUUUAUAAGUUAUUACUUGAUUAUAUUAUAUAAUAUAUAAUUUAAUAUAGAAAAUGAUUAUAUUAGUAUUGUUAGGAAAUUACUAUAAGGAACUCGGCAAAACUAAACCUCGUCUGUUUAUCAAAAACAUAGUCCCUAGAUUUAAUUAGGGGUAAAACCUGCUCAAUGAAGCUUUUUAAAUGGCCGCAGUACCUUGACUGUGCAAAGGUAGCAUAAUCAGUUGGCUUAUAAUUGAAGUCUGGUAUGAAUGGGAAUUUGGGGUUUAACUGUCUUAUAUUAAUUUGGCAGAAUUUACUAAAUAAGUGAAAAUUCUUAUAUAUAGAAAAAAGACGAGAAGACCCUAGAAAUUUUUAUAAAUAUUACAAUUUAUUUUUGUUGGGGCGACAAGGUAACAAAAAACUUACCUGAGCUAAUAGGAAAUUUUUUAGUGGAGCAAACAAAUUACUCUAGGGAUAACAGCAUAAUAUUAUAAAGAUUGUGACCUCGAUGUUGGACUAGGGAAUAUAUUACUUAGAAGGUAGUAUAAUAGGCUCUGUUCGAGCUAAAGACCCUACGUGAUCUGAGUCAAGACCGG
RNAcentral lists this ribosomal RNA (855 nucleotides) under Monacha sp. 1_2 MTN-2017. RNAcentral's name for it is "partial 16S ribosomal RNA". The record is from RNAcentral. Lineage: Eukaryota; Metazoa; Mollusca; Gastropoda; Stylommatophora; Hygromiidae.